RNAcentral lists this unclassified non-coding RNA (156 nucleotides) under soil metagenome. RNAcentral describes it as "partial internal transcribed spacer 1". The record is from RNAcentral.
CCGAGUUUACAACUCCCAAACCCAUGUGAACAUACCUACUGUUGCUUCGGCGGGAUUGCCCCGGGCGCCUCGUGUGCCCCGGAUCAGGCGCCCGUCUAGGAAACUUAACUCUUGUUUUAUUUUGGAAUCUUCUGAGUAGUUUUUACAAAUAAAUAA